Acinonyx jubatus (cheetah) is the source of this 1272-nucleotide long non-coding RNA. RefSeq lists it as uncharacterized. The transcript is spliced from 5 exons. The record is from RefSeq and is a predicted model, not a curated record. NCBI's taxonomy places the organism in Eukaryota, Metazoa, Chordata, Mammalia, Carnivora, Felidae.
UACGUCAUCAAAGUUCGGCGGCUGAAGGUGGGAAAGCCAAGGCUACCGCCGUCGCUAGUGCGCAAGCUCAAAGCGAGGUUGGCACCCGCGGAGCUGGCUAGGAGAAGCAAGCACUGUUCAAAGCAACUUCCAUACAUGUGCUUUUCCCAACAACCCUAAGUCGAUGAGGAUUUUGAUGCUUACAUAAAUGAAGUAACUUACCAAAGUGUUUUUCAGGUCACAGAAAAUGGUGGGACAAUCUCUUCAUUGCUGAAUUUAUAAUCUAUACUUUUUGGAUUCUUGACAAAUGUUUUGAAGGUUACUGUAUCUAUGGUGCUGUUCAUCUUGGUGUUUAAAUGCUCAUAUCCAUUAAGCCAAAAGAAAACACACAUGAGCCGUAAAAAGAGACUUUGCCUCUCCCAAGCCAGCAGCCUCUAGUCUGAGCAUCUCCAGGCAAACACUGGCUCAUUUGAAGCUUUUACCUUCAAGAUUUCAAAGAAAGGAGCUGAGAUCUUUGAUGGCAAGACUCCAAGAAGGCCCCCGAUGAUCCUUACCCCUGAUGUUCAUGUCCUUGGACUCCUUCACUGUAAGCCUCACCUGUGUGACUAACAGGACAUUACAGAAGUGUUGAUAUAUGACUUCUUAAGCUAGCCACAAAGAGCUAGCCUUGUUCUCUUGGGCCACUUGCUAUGGGAGAAGCCAGCACAGUGUUAUAAGGACACACAAGCAGGCCUGUGGAGAAGUCCACAUGGGAAAGAGCUGAGGCCUCUCACCAACAGCCAGCACUGUUCUGGUGAUAAAAGUGAGCUACCUUGGAAGUGGAUCCUCCAGUUCCGGACAAGCCUUCAGGUGACUGUGGCCUUGCCUGACAUCUGACCCUAACCUCGUAAGAAACUCCAGGCCAGGAUCACCAAGCUAAGUGCUACCAAACUCUUAGCUCACAGAAACUAUGAGAGAGAACCAAUGUUUCUGUUGUCUUAAGGCAUUGAGUUUUGGGGCAAUUUGUUACACAGCUCUGGAUAAACUGGAUUUCUUUAAAAGCUACACCAUAUAGACUAUGGGUGAUCUUAACCAAAUACAGAUAGGUGUUAGGGACUUAAACGAACAUUUCAAGUAAUUGUUUAUUGUAUUGUUUCUGCUUUCCACCAAGGAAAUUCAAUUUCAAGUCAACAUUCUGUGAAGCUUUGUACAAUAUAGCUUUUGAAAUGCGUUUUGUUGUUAAUGCUUUUCUUUCCUUUUUUUUUUUUUUUUUUAAGAGUUUCAGGCUCUACCUACUGAGCCAGCCAGUUACUC